RNAcentral lists this ribosomal RNA (496 nucleotides) under uncultured bacterium. RNAcentral's name for it is "partial 16S ribosomal RNA". It matches the Rfam family "Bacterial small subunit ribosomal RNA", at positions 28 to 506 of the family's 1533-position model. The record is from RNAcentral.
GAUGAACGCUGGCGGCGUGCCUAAUACAUGCCAGUCGAGCGAACAGACGAGGAGCUUGCUCCUCUGACGUUAGCGGCGGACGGGUGAGUAACACGUGGAUAACCUACCUAUAAGACUGGGAUAACUUCGGGAAACCGGAGCUAAUACCGGAUAAUAUAUUGAACCGCAUGGUUCAAUAGUGAAAGACGGUUUUGCUGUCACUUAUAGAUGGAUCCGCGCCGCAUUAGCUAGUUGGUAAGGUAACGGCUUACCAAGGCAACGAUGCGUAGCCGACCUGAGAGGGUGAUCGGCCACACUGGAACUGAGACACGGUCCAGACUCCUACGGGAGGCAGCAGUAGGGAAUCUUCCGCAAUGGGCGAAAGCCUGACGGAGCAACGCCGCGUGAGUGAUGAAGGUCUUCGGAUCGUAAAACUCUGUUAUGAGGGAAGAACAAAUGUGUAAGUAACUAUGCACGUCUUGACGGUACCUAAUCAGAAAGCCACGGCUAACUACGU